RNAcentral lists this microRNA precursor (59 nucleotides) under Jaculus jaculus (lesser Egyptian jerboa). RNAcentral's name for it is "miRNA (ENSJJAG00000001051.1)". The record is from RNAcentral. Lineage: Eukaryota; Metazoa; Chordata; Mammalia; Rodentia; Dipodidae.
AGCCACCUCUCUAGCCCCUUGACCAACUUUUGACAUGGGUUCUGGGAUGGAGAGAUGGC